UUGCCUACGGGACGCAGCAGUAGGGAAUUUUCGUCAAUGGGCGCAAGCCUGAACGAGCAAUGCCGCGUGAACGAGGAAGGUCUUCGGAUCGUAAAGUUCUGUUGAAGGGGAAAAAGAGCGGAGAGAGGAAAUGAACUCCGAUUGAUAUUACCCUUCGCGGAAGUCACGGCUAACUACGUGCCAGCAGCCGCGGUAAUACGUAGGUGGCGAGCGUUAUCCGGCAUGAUUGGGCGUAACGGGUGCGUAGGCGGCCUGCUAAGUCUGGAGUGAAAGGUACCGGCCCAACCGGUACAGGCUCUGGAAAC
RNAcentral lists this ribosomal RNA (305 nucleotides) under uncultured bacterium. Its description in RNAcentral is "bacterial SSU rRNA". It matches the Rfam family "Bacterial small subunit ribosomal RNA", at positions 335 to 633 of the family's 1533-position model. The record is from RNAcentral.